UACGAGGGGGGCAAAUGUUGUUCGGAAUCACUGGGCGUAAAGGGAGCGUAGGCGGGUGUUUAAGUUAGGUGUUUAAUCCUGGGGCCCAACCCCAGUCGUGCACCUAAAACUGGACAUCUUGAAUAGGGGAGAGGUCAGUGGAAUUGGAGGUGUAGCGGUGGAAUGCGUAGAGAUCUCCAAGAACACCAGUUGCGAAGGCGGCUGACUGGACCCAUAUUGACGCUGAGGCUCGAAAGUGCGGGGAUCAAACAGG
Molecule: ribosomal RNA, 253 nt
Filed under: uncultured bacterium
Lineage: Bacteria
Description: partial 16S ribosomal RNA
Rfam family: Bacterial small subunit ribosomal RNA
Source: RNAcentral